This is a long non-coding RNA of Helicoverpa armigera (cotton bollworm), 221 nucleotides long. RefSeq lists it as uncharacterized. Lineage: Eukaryota; Metazoa; Arthropoda; Insecta; Lepidoptera; Noctuidae. The transcript is spliced from 2 exons. The record is from RefSeq and is a predicted model, not a curated record.
CGGAAACAUUAUUUGAGGUUAUGUUUUGAUGGAACUGAUAACAUAGUAAAAUGUCACAACGAGAAACAAAUCCGAUUUGACAGUACUUUGAUAAAAGUAUCAGUGAUACAUCAAAAGCUGUUUGCAAGUAUUUAUUGUAUUAAAUAAAUGAUUACAAUACCUACAACAAACUGAAUUAAUAUACUGUGUUUCCACUUCAUGCCCUAAUUAAUGCAAAAUAA